This is a non-coding RNA of Hordeum vulgare subsp. vulgare (domesticated barley), 46 nucleotides long. Lineage: Eukaryota; Viridiplantae; Streptophyta; Magnoliopsida; Poales; Poaceae. The record is from Rfam.
UAAUAGGUUGUUCUAACAACUACUAAUUCUGACAAAACAAAGGAUG